Molecule: long non-coding RNA, 9393 nt
Filed under: Canis lupus familiaris (dog)
Lineage: Eukaryota; Metazoa; Chordata; Mammalia; Carnivora; Canidae
Description: lncRNA (ENSCAFG00845014876.1)
Source: RNAcentral
UUUUUUUUUUUUUUUUUUGGUGGGAGAUAGGAGGGAGGAAGACAUCAUUCUGCCUGCCUAUUAACACAGCCUCAAAAUUUAUAAAGAAAAAAAAGAAACAACUUGGAGAAAUUUACAGAUACAUCAUUUAGUGGAAUGUUUUAACAUAUUUCUCUCAGUAAUUGCCAGAUAAUCAGACUAAAAACAAUCAUUAAAGAUAUUGAAGAUUUGUACAAUAUAAUUAAGCUGAUUAAUAGAUAUUUUUAGAACCUGUAUCCAACAGUUGGAGAAUACUCUUAUGCAAAUGUAAAACAUUUACAAAAAGUGACCACAUACUGGGCCAUAAAGUAAGUCUUAAGAAAUUUUAAACAAUCAGCUUAAUAUACCUCAAAUUCAAAUUAGAAAUCAGUAUUUCAAAAAACAAUAAGGAAGUUUUCACUUAACAUAUACCUAGGGGCACCUGGGUGGCUCAGUGGUUAAGCAUCUGCCUUUGGCCCAUGCUCCCUGGGGUCCUGGAAUCAAGUUCCACAUCAGGACUCCUGCAAAGAGCCUGCUUCCCCCUCUACCUAAGUCUCUGCCUUUCUCUCUGUCUCUUUCAUAAAUAAAUAAAAUCUUAAAUAUAUUAUAUAUAUAUAUAUAUAUAUAUAUAAAUAAUUCAUUGAUUAAACAAAAAAUAAUUGGUAAAGUACUUACACCUGAAGAAAAUAACACCUAUUAGAACUCCCAAGAAUCAACAAUAGUGACAGAAAAUCUAUAAAUUUAAAUGCUUAAAUUAUUAAAAAAAAAAAAAAGCUGAAAGCACUGAACUAAAGCAUCUAAUUUAAGAAUUAGGAAAGGAACAACAAAAUAAACCUAAGGCAGAAUAAAGAAAAUAAAAGAACAGAAAUAAAUUAACUGACAAAGAUUCAACAGAAGUUCAACAAAACUUUUGAUUGCUUGAAAAGCUUAAUAAAAUUGAUAGGGAUGCCUGGGUGGCUCAGUGGUUGAGUGUUUGCCUUUGGCCGAGGGCCUGAUCCUGGAGACCCAGGAUCGAGUCCCACAUCGGGCUCCCUGCAUGGAGCCUGCUUCUCCCUCUGCCUUGUGUCUCUCCCUCUCUCUCUAUUUCUCAUCAAUCAAUAAAUAAAAUCUUUAAAAAAUAAUAAAAUAAAAUUGAUACAUUUCUAGCAACACUGACCAAAUAGAAGAAGAGAACCCCACACAAAAACAGACAAAAAUACAGAUGUAAAAUUCCACAGUAACUGUAUAUUCAACUUUAUUUGAAUUUUAUUUAAAGAGAAAAUGUAAAUAUAACAAUCAUGGAUUCUUUUUCCCAUAAUUAUAUUUGUGUGUGUUUAAAUAUUUCCUCCAAAUUAAAAAAAAAAAAAAAGGAAAUGAGUGAAGACUUCAUGGACAACAGCAAUAAUAAUAAUAAUAAUAAUAAUAAUAAUAAUUGCCUAAUAACACAGUAACAAGAAAUGUGGAGAAUUUACCUCAAAAACUUAAGGAAAUAAAAAUAUCUGAUACACAGAUAUUUGCCACAUUCUGGGACAGUAAAACCUAAUAACAUAAAGAUAUCAAAACUCCCAAAUUAAUUUAUAAGGCAAGUUUAUAAAAUAAAAGGGAUUUUAACCAAAACUCCAAGGAGUUAUUGUGAGGCCAUUUUUAGGCAAACAGGCUUGUGCAAUGCAAUGUAGAAAAGGUCUACAGAGACCCCUGGCUGCACACAGACCCAUCAGAUGACCCACCUCUAAAGAUCCAUAGGCCCUAACUUACAACCCAGCACAGUUACCAAAAAGGGCAAAUGUCAUAUAACACCAUACCUCCUCACCCUCCCCUUUAAAAGCAGCCCCCACCCACUGCCUCCAUGCUGAAGGCCUGUGUUUUGCUGUCCUGCCCACUGCUCCAUUGGGAUAUACUCAAUAAACUUCUGCCUUUGUUCUGCCUCAAGUGAAUUCUUUUAGUUCUGUGCCACUGGCUACAUCUUCACAUCCUCCCCCCGCCCCUGCCAUGAGGACAGAUACCACAUUUAGACAGCAUAAGUUAUUUUAUAAAACACAAAAUAAUUCUGAAGCUAAUUCUAGAGUAAAUGGAAGGUAAUGGCCAAGAAAUUUUGGGAAAAUAACAAGGGAGAUUUGCCCUAAAAACAUUAAAAUGUAAUACAAGAAGAUAAUGCUUUAAAUUUUUUUUUUACUGAUAACAGGGAUUUAAAGACAAAUCAGUGGAACAAAAAAAAAUCUACAAGGGUAAUGUUUCAUAAGAAGUAUGUUAUAAAUUGAUGGAAAAGGAUACACUCUUUUGCAAAGAAAAUACAGAUACAUUUUUAUCCAACUUCUCAUUGUACACAUUAGAUAAAAACCAUGAAGCAAAAAUGAAUCAUUAGGAUGUUACCUGUUGCAAACAAGAAAUCUAUCACAAAUGGCUUAAUUGUAAAGUACAAAGGUAGGUUAUGUUUCAAAGGUUCAUCUUGACCAAAGUUCUGGUUCCACUUUUCUGCUCUGCAUCUGCCCUCAUCAGCAUGUGCCAGCUCCUCCAUAGUAAGGCUUCCGUCACACCUAUGUAAUCUCAGUCCUUCAUCUGUAGGCCUCCUCAUCUAUAGUGGAGCUGCUCUUCCUCCAACCACUGCCUUAAGUCCUAGUUCUACAUCCAACUCAUAACAGUUCCUGGAACAAAGAGAAUGCCCCACAGUUGGACUAGGUCUGAAUUCCAUUCACUGGAAGGGGCCUGGGAUUCUGCCUUUAAAUUCAACCAAACAUAGAGCUUGGGUGAGGUCAUCCAAACUAAACUGUAGUUGCAAAAAAUGGCUGGGGAGAAAGAACUAGAGGUUUGAAAAGCUUACUACAAAGGGAUUGACAAAUUUAGCUAUACAAAAAUGCUAGAUUUCAAUACAGAAAAUAAAUCCACCACUUACAAAAUGAAAGGUAAUGGCACAGUAAGAAAAAUCAUAUAUAUACUGAAAUAAAAUAAUGGUAAAUUCCUAUAUGAUCCCAAGCUUUUGGUAAUAAAAUCUUGGAGGAUUUUACUAACCUAUAUCAUUUGGCAGAAAAGUGGAAUAUAGAUUUCAACAACAGUAACAAGAUGAUAAUUUAGAAAAAAAUUAGAUCUGCUUUAAAAAUAUAUUAAUACUGAAAUCACUAUGACCACUGUUUGAAAAUACAGCCAUAUAGUGUUGGAUGUUCACAGGUAACAGUAACUAAAGGAGACUGUCUACAUGGAAAUGACAUAGUGCUUUGGAUCAUGGAAUCCUGUAAUGUACAGGUCAAUGACAUUAAAGAAAGCCAUAAAGGUGGAAACUGAUCAAAGAAAGAAUAUUACAGGAACAGCAGAAAAUAUGCUUCCACAUGCAUAUUAUACAUUUUAAGAAGCACUCCAAAACCUUUACGAAUGAGACAGAAUAUAAGUAAAAUUAGUCACUUUAUUCAUAAGUGAGGAACACUAUUUUGAAAUAGGUUUUAGAUUGGUUUUGAAAACACAGAUUUUAAAAUAUACAGAGCUUUUUCCAUGAUAAAUGGAAGUUUUAAUUAACAAAAGAUAAUAAGCAGGAUAUAUAAACAGGCUCUAAAACUAAAUUAAAGAUACUAAAUUAUGGUGGAAUUUUAAAGGGAAAUUCAAAAUGUUGAGUUAAUUAAUGUCUUUGGGCAGAAAUCAUAUAGAACAAUGAUUAGUACCUUACGGUGCCACAGGAAACUACAGAAGAACUAAGGUAAUUUUUUUUAGCACCACAAAUCCAGUAUGAAACCACACAUUUUACACAAAGACUAUCACGUGCAGGUAUAAUAUAUGUCAGUCUUUAAAAUGCAUAUACACCAUACAAGCUGGACUUGACAAAUAAAUUUCUAACUUUUUGUUCAAAUCCCCCAUAAGACUUUUACUCAGAGGGGGGAAAAACUGGAUAACAUAACAAGUACUACCUAAAUCUUUUAAAAAUCAAACAGAGAGAAAUAACUACUUUCCAAUAAAACAUUAAUAAAAUAAAUUUCACAGUUGAAAAAUAAGUACAGGGAGAAGAAAACAACAUGCCAAGCAUCUACCAUGCUGCCUACUGCUAAACCAAGUGCCAGGCAGUGAGUAAGACACAAGUGCUAACAGAGGAGGACACACUGCUCUGGACAGGCUGCAAUACAAAAGCAGGUAUGGCCUGAGAGAUCCACAAGGAGACACAGCAGUGAGAAAGUCUUCCCAGAGGACUUUAGAAUGAGCAGUAGUUUUCCAGAGAGAGUAAGUGGAGCAGGUAAUGCCACAGGCUUGGGAAGGCUGGCAGGGAGCACGGAGCAGUAAUUCCUGGCAGAGCAAGUAAACAAACCACACCUGAAACACAAGAGAAGGCAGCUGACAGCUCAAGAGCAAGAGGGACAGUGUAGGUUCCAGGUCAUGCUGGACCUCCCUAUAGGCCAUGUGCUAGAAGGGACAGUGGAAAGGAACUCAAGAGUCUUAAGCUAGCGAAUGGCACAAUUAAGUUUGUUUUAAAAAUAUUGUCUUGGUUGCUGCAUACAGGAUGGACUGCAGAGUACCAGAGUGAAAGCAAGGACAUAAGUAUGAGGUCAUUGCAAUGACCCAACUGAGAGACAGCAGUUGUGUGAACUAAUAUGAUGUCAUUACAGGUGGAGAAAAGUAGGUUAGAGAGAAGUACAGGAGGUAAACGUGGCAAAAUAGUUCCAUAUUAGAUCUAAAUUAUGAAAAAGAGAGAAACAUGUAGCUAGAUGGCGGAUGGUGCCAUCAACCAAAUUAGAGAACCCCUUCUGAAAGGAGAUCAGAUCAGGUUGGCGUCAGGGUGGCAGGGAGAGACUGAAGUUAGUACUGGGUUAGUACUGGGCAUGAAGUGCCUAAAAUAUCUUGUGGAAACGUCAAGUGGACAGGCAGACAACCCUCACACAAUCCCACAGCAGGCACUGACCUCAUGUUAUAGGAGGAAAAAUUAAGGCCCAAAGAGGUCAAGGCCUUUGCCUUAGGCCCCAGAGCUAGCAAACAGUGGAGGGCAUCUUAUAACCCAAACUAUUCUAUCCUGAAAGCCCAAAUCCCUUCCGCACUCCUUCUUUGCUAAGGUGGCUAGGAAUAUGUAAGAAUUUGGAAAAAUGGCCUAAGCAAAAUAGAGGCAAGACAAUAGUCUAAAAAUGAUUGCCUAAUUUCUACCACACUCCCUGAACACUGUGUCAUAUACAUGAACACCUUAUUUUGGGAGAUAGGGCUCUAUGUUGAGGAAGAAGCUGGAAGUGGAAUAAAGGUAACUAGAAAAAGAAAUGUGUUUAAGUAGUAAUUCAAGAUAUAUUAGUAGCUGAAGCUGCAGGGAAAAUGUAGUAGUAAGUGUAUAGAAAUGUAGAGUAUAAUUCAGAAGGCUUUUCUGGAGGUUGUUUUAGGAUUGCCAACAUCCCACUUAGUGCAGGAGUCCCAUCUAGAGAGGGGUGGGCCCUCCAGGGUUUAAAACUCCACAAAUAUUCUUCAAAACAGCCUAAAGUUUUGUUUACGCUAUGCAGCUACUAGUAACGCCCCCAACACAUAUCUACAAGAGGUAGUGAUGAAGUAAAACUGUAAAGCAUUUUAAGAGGUACAAGCCACUCAAUUACAAAAAGCAUUCACACAACUUCACUCAUCUUCUGCAUGUUCUUCUAAUUGAUUCUCCUGAUUUGGGGAAGGAUUUGGGGCAGCAACAGCUUUCUGAGAGAUGGGGUGAAAGACCCAGAGUACGAAACCUCAGUUUGAGAUUUUGCUUCACUUACUUUAGCAAAUUAUUUCACUGAUUUGCAGUUAUGUUCUUUUCAUCUUGGAUCAGAGUCAAUCUUGACCUAGCUCACAGUUGCUGUGAUGUUCCAGCAUAUUGGUAUAUAUGAAAAUAUUUUGUAAGCCAAAAGGAGCCAUGCAAAUAUAAGAAGUAAUGACACUGAUGAUGAUGGAGAAAGGAGAGUAGCAAGAGAAAAGAGAGGAAGAAGAGAAGGAGGGAAGGAAAGGAAGGGCCUUUCAUUUUCUUCCAUCAGUCAUGCUCACAGAUAUAUCUUCCGUAGCACUGCCAGCAACCACAAUGUGUGCAGCUGUCGCCCUGAGUUCCAAUGCUGGCACUACUGUUAUCCAGUAUGUAACUUGAACAAGUCACUUGCCUCAGUUUCUUCAAAUAGACAUUGAGUAAUUCAGGCUGAAGUUUUAAAUUCUGAAAGGUUUCUGGUGCUCCAUAAACUUUAAUGAAAUAGAGAUUCACUUUCUUUAAAAUUUAAAGGGUAGGAGCACCUGAGUGGUGCAGUCAGUUGAACAUCUGACUCUUGGUUUUAGCUCAGAUCAUGAUCUCAGGUUUUCCAGAGUGAGCCUGCAUCCAGCUCCAUACUCAGCAUGGAGUCUAAGACUCUCUCUCCCACUCUAAAAUAAAAAAAUAAAUCUUUGAAAAAUUUCAGAGUAGUAUCCCAUUUAUUUCAAGGCUUCAUCAUGGGGAAAUAACCAUUUUUAAGUACAGAAUUAAUAACUAUCAGUUACAAUAUAUUUUGUGAAGGUUUAACAAAUAAUCAUAGAUAUUUGUUCUUUUAAAACAUACAUAUUACCUUUGUCUUGUAUCAUUCCCUAAGUUAUCAGCCUCAUCACUCUAACUAGAUAGCGCAUCUCCUCAGAAGAAAAAUCACUAAACAUUUUCAUUUCCUUUACACUGUCUAGCAACAUAACAGGCACAUGCCAGAUGCCCAAAUGAAAUUUGUGCCAAAUGUGUAACAUGUAGAAACUGAACUGUUCCUUUAUAACCCCUCUACCUGCAGCAAGAGGAAAAAAAAAAAUUAUGGCUAACCAUGGAGUUCUGAGGGUAUCUCAAAACACAAGACGCAAAAUAAUAUUUAUAAUUUUUUUUGCCAACCAAAAGUACUGGAUAGAACUAUAGAUUUACUAACCCAAAACACAGUGGGGCAGAAGCCUGAGACAGAGGAUGAGGAAGCAUUUGCGUACAAUGUAAUGAUACCACUUCUUUUGCAGAAGCAAAAAUUCAGGACAUGAAGAUUACAAAAGUGAGAAACUGACUCAGGAAUACAGUACAUGCUUCAAGUAACAGUGACUGUGGUUAUUUAGGAUUUAGAGUUUGGCUUUUUUAAGAGGAAAAUAAGCCCUUUCCACAAACCAAAUGCAACAUACUUCAAUAUUUGUUGCAGAGAAACUGCAUAUUACCAGUGAGGUUUGGUGAAUGAAGGUGAACCAGGCCAGUUGUGCACUAAGAACAAAAAGUCAAAUGGACUAUAAAAAGUUACACUAUACAAAGCUUAUUUUGUUCUUGCCUACUAAAAGUAUUUUAUCUGUCUUUACAUUAUCAGUCUACUUGAACACACACUGAUCUUGUCUGUGUAAACAGCAUUUUUUCCUCACUUCCUUUAAAUAUUUUAGUCAAAUUGAAAACAUAACAUAAAUAUGCCAAAUUGAAUUUCAUCUGAAUUAGUUGAAGAACACAAACUGACUGCUCAUAUUGCUAACUUUAUUAAUGACUCCUUAAUUAACAAGGUUUUAAGUACCUGUAGUUUGAGGAUUAACACAUAUUGAAAAUAACGGUGAGAAAUAACCCAAUUUACAAUAUCAGGAGAUGAUAAUGAUUUUGCAGAAAGAAACAAGGUCUAAUAAAAAUAAUCUAAGUUCCUAAUACCACUUACUGACAAACACAGCUUUACAUCAUGCUAAAAUUACAUAUUUAUCUCCUCAUUAGCAACUAAUCUCACUUAUUCUUCUUGCCAAACCAAUUAUGAGAAAAUUUUCAGACUCAAAGGAAUUAAUAGGACACUUGGACCUCUCUCAGUCUUCUCAUGACUCAAGUAAUUAGCAAGCACUUGUAUAUGAAAUCCAAAUGGUUUUCCUAAACUAAUUAAUGAAAUGAAGGACAUCAAAAUGUUAUCAACUCAUAGCAACUCAAGUCCCAUAUUCCAAUAGUCCUCAAGUAGAUAGAAUAAUUGCCAGAUGUUGACAGGGUCUUUCUGGUCAACUCAGAGAUUACUCAGGGGGUGAAAAUGAGGAGGGAGAAAGAAAGGUAGUUUCUUAUCGAAUACAACAAACUAUUUAUGUGAUAAAGGAAUACUUUAUAGGCAAUGCUCUGUAUAUUAAACAGCUUCUGGAUCCACCAACUCUUUAAGCACAUAAUACAAGGUAAAUAAAUGAUUAUAGCAGAAAUUUGCAUUUAUAUGAUAUUUUCUUCCAAGUAGCUUAAAAAACACAAGGCUAAGCUACCUUCUCAAAAUUUCAUAAAAGCUUGGAAUUUCUGAAAAGAAAUUUGGAAAGUUUGAUUCUCUGACCAGCUCCUUAUUUUCUGUGCCCUUUCAACCAUUCAUUUCAGAAAUCAAACUGUAACCAUGCGUUAGACUUUCUUGUUGCCUCUUCUCCUUCCACAUCUCCAAACUUCAAUUAAGAGUUUCCAUUGUACCGCCUACAGGUUUUUCUUUCUCCUCAAGGUUUUCUCACUGACUGACUCAGCGGUUCAAAGCAGACUUUUUACAGACAUAUUAUAGGUUAUAAAUUAAUUUCAUUAGCUGUUCUUAAUCUCUAAUUUUUUAAAAGAUUGAAAUUAAUAGUAAAUCAGGAAUUCAAUUUAGUUUGAGUAGAGAUUUUGUGUUUUUUAAUGAAAGUGAAGCCCUUCGAGAGAUCUUUAAAUAGUUGUACAUCGCUAUAUAUACAUAUACAUAUACUAUCCUAGAUAAGGAUAGUACAUCGACUUUCUCUGAAGCCCACGGCAUAUCAGAUCCUACAGCUGUUAGGUUUGUUCCUAGUAAAGAGUACAAAUCCAGAGCCUGGCUCAAAAUAAGCACUGCAUGUGUGUGCACGUGUGUGUUUGAGUGUGAGUGUGUGCGUGUGUAUGUAUAAAAGGAGGGAGGGGGUUGGCAUAUACAUCUCAGAAAUCAUUUAAACCCUAGAUUCAGAAAAGAACAGUUAAAAAUUCCUUCCGUGAUGCUAGCUAGGCCCCAACAAGACAGAGAACAAACAGAACUUCAUUCAUUUCUUCUCCAGAGACACUAGUAAUAUUAAAAUAAUGGUAAAAUUAAUGGGCAGAAGUUGCUUCUGGUCAUUAGUAUUUUUGCCUGAAAUCUGUGAAACAAAAAAUAUUCCCUCAUACCAAGUAAACCAAAUUUCUGAAAUCUUUAACCUAUGAUUAAACCACUGAUCAACAUAGUUAUUUUCCCACUUCUUAAUUCAGAGAAGCAGCUUCACCUGAUCUGAAAUCUCAGGAAGCAUUUUCAAUUUCUUUGGGAAAAUGCCUGACAGACUUCUUUUUAAUCUCCCUUUAGAUAAAGCUCUCUGAAGAUCAAAGGGGCCUCACUCAGGCAGAUGUGUUUUGCUGUCAAUGGUUAAGAGGGAAAAACAGACUUCAAGCAAACUGCUCAGAGAAUCCUUAAAUAAUUAAGCAUUAAAUGGAGAAUAUAAAGUCUUCAGAAAGGUCAAUGGAUAAGGAAAAGCAUGGCAUUCACUCACAAAAAAAAAAAAAAAAAAAAAAAAAAAAAAAAA